CGAAUAUUCCAGCCGAAUUUCGUAAUGAAAAUGGGGGAACCAUGUAAUUGGGGUGAAUUUCAUUAUUCCCGGAAUAAUGAAUAGGGCGACCUGUGGAAAUGCCCGAAUCCGUCAGCUAACCUCGUAGGCUGUUGCACAGGAACCA
This is a non-coding RNA of Paenibacillus sp. Y412MC10, 145 nucleotides long. Lineage: Bacteria; Bacillati; Bacillota; Bacilli; Caryophanales; Paenibacillaceae. The record is from Rfam.